UUACGGACAUAUCACGGUGAAACAUUGGUUCCCAUAUGAUAACCAAAGUUAAGAAACGCCGAGUUUGGUUUGUACCUAGAUGGGCGACCGCUUGGGAAUGCCAGGUGU
Molecule: non-coding RNA, 108 nt
Organism: Acanthosepion pharaonis
Lineage: Eukaryota; Metazoa; Mollusca; Cephalopoda; Sepiida; Sepiidae
Source: the annotation of a GenBank genome assembly